This 425-nucleotide ribosomal RNA is filed under the name uncultured prokaryote. RNAcentral's name for it is "bacterial SSU rRNA". It matches the Rfam family "Bacterial small subunit ribosomal RNA", at positions 355 to 796 of the family's 1533-position model. The record is from RNAcentral.
UGGGGAAUAUUGGACAAUGGGCGCAAGCCUGAUCCAGCCAUGCCGCGUGAGUGAUGAAGGCCCUAGGGUUGUAAAGCUCUUUCGGCGGGGACGAUAAUGACGGUACCCGCAGAAGAAGCCCCGGCUAACUUCGUGCCAGCAGCCGCGGUAAUACGAAGGGGGCUAGCGUUGUUCGGAAUCACUGGGCGUAAAGCGCACGUAGGCGGAUUGUUAAGUCAGGGGUGAAAUCCCGAGGCUCAACCUCGGAACUGCCUUUGAUACUGGCAAUCUUGGAGUCCGGGAGAGGUGAGUGGAAUUCCGAGUGUAGAGGUGAAAUUCGUAGAUAUUCGGAAGAACACCAGUGGCGAAGGCGGCUCACUGGCCCGGUACUGACGCUGAGGUGCGAAAGCGUGGGGAGCAAACAGGAUUAGAUACCCCCGUAGUCC